GAUCAUGGCUCAGGAUGAACGCUAGCUACAGGCUUAACACAUGCAAGUCGAGGGGCAUCAGGGUGUAGCAAUACACCGCUGGCGACCGGCGCACGGGUGAGUAACGCGUAUCCAACCUGCCCAUCACCUGGGAAUAACCUUGCGAAAGUAAGACUAAUGCCCAAUGAUAUCCCACGAAGGCAUCCGAAUGGGAUUAAAGAUUUAUCGGUGAUGGAUGGGGAUGCGU
RNAcentral lists this ribosomal RNA (226 nucleotides) under uncultured bacterium. RNAcentral's name for it is "partial 16S ribosomal RNA". It matches the Rfam family "Bacterial small subunit ribosomal RNA", at positions 15 to 236 of the family's 1533-position model. The record is from RNAcentral.